RNAcentral lists this ribosomal RNA (824 nucleotides) under uncultured archaeon. Its description in RNAcentral is "bacterial SSU rRNA". It matches the Rfam family "Archaeal small subunit ribosomal RNA", at positions 8 to 828 of the family's 1478-position model. The record is from RNAcentral.
UUUUUUUUGGCGGACCUGACUGCUAUCGGAUUGGUACUAAGCCAUUUGAGUCGUUGUAGCAAUACAAGGCGGACGGCUCAGUAACACGUAGUCAACCUAACCUAUGGACGUGGAUAACCUCGGGAAACUGAGAAUAAACCGCGAUAGAUCAUUAUGCCUGGAAUGGCUUAUGGUUCAAACAAUUUAUUGCCGUAGGAUGGGACUGCGGCCUAUCAGCUUGUUGGUGAGGUAAUGGCCCACCAAGGCUAUAACAGGUACGGGCUCUGAGAGGAGAAGCCCGGAGAUGGGUACUGAGACACGGACCCAGGCCCUAUGGGGCGCAGCAGGCGAGAAACCUUAGCAAUGUGCGAAAGCACGACUAGGUUAAUCCGAGUGAUUUCUGUUGAAGAAAUCUUUUGUCAGUCGUAAAACCACAGACGAAUAAGGGGUGGGCAAGUCUGGUGUCAGCCGCCGCGGUAAUACCAGCACCUCGAGUGGUCAGGAGGUUUAUUGGGCCUAAAGCAUCCGUAGCCGGCUACGCAAGUCUCCGGUUAAAUCCAGCUGCUCAACAGAUGGGCUGCCGGAGAUACUACAUAGCUAGGGAGCGGGAGAGGUAGACGGUAUUCUGUGGGUAGGGGUAAAAUCCACUGAUCCAUAGAGGACCACCAGUGGAGAAGGCGGUCUACCAGAACGCGUUCGACGGUGAGGGAUGACAGCUGGGGGAGCAAACCGGAUUAGAUACCCGGGUAGUCCCAGCUGUAAACGAUGCAAACUCGGUGAUGCAUUGGCUUAUGGCCAAUGCAGUGCCGCAGGGAAGCCGUGAAGUUUUAUAGGGCCACGUACGG